Pygocentrus nattereri (red-bellied piranha) is the source of this 789-nucleotide long non-coding RNA. Lineage: Eukaryota; Metazoa; Chordata; Actinopteri; Characiformes; Serrasalmidae. The record is from Ensembl.
AUGGGGGUUGUUCCAUCUGAAGUCCGUGUUUCUUGGGUCGUAAGUCACACAGUGCUGACCGGGUGGACAGAAUCAGGCUGGACAGAUGAUAGUGAUUCGGCUUUAGAGUUCACUCGAGCUCAUGUUCUUGUUUCUUCAGAGAGUUGGAUGGAUAACGUUGAGUGUGUUGUUGAGCUGGACGGCAGGAUGAUCUCCAAGUCUCUGAAAAGAGGUUCAGAUUUGAGCUGUACAUGGUUGGUGUAUUUGGGCUUCGGUACAGCAUUUCUCAUCAUCCUUGCGACUGUCAUUGUUGCUGUUUCUUCACUCACAGCAAGACGAGACAAACUGACUUUGAGAUCUGGUGGUUCGGAAUCUCGCUUCAGGCGUCAAAAUGGUAAACGAGGAACACACACUGUGGAGGGAUCGUGCAUAACGGAAAUGCAAUAUGCAAGUGUGGACCUGAUCAGGAUCGGACAGGGCAGCAGUACUGUUCUAAGCCGGACUAGUUGAAGUCUUGUUUGUUGUUUUUUCAGUUGUUUAUUUAAGGCUUUUGAGAGUGUGAGUAAGUGAGUGGACAAGCAUGUGAGAUUAAAUAAACACUGAUUGUGUACUGAAAAUGAUCGAUUAAUCUCAUGUUUACACUUUUAGUUUUUUCUGAAGCUCUUGCAUUGAGGACCAUUCUGUACGUACAGAACACACACAGGUGAGCAAAAACACCACCUAGCUUAAUAAUAACAUUAGGUAAAAAAACACAAAGACAGAAGCAGAUAGAUAUAAAGAGGUAACAAAAAUGAUGAAGCAUGUUUAGCC